UUUACGUUUAAAAACAUUUUUUUCUUUUAAGCAUUUUAGAGCAUUCUGGAUGUUGUUAAUAUGAUUCUUCACUAUCUGAGGAGCUUUUGAGUGUAGACAGAACAUUGACAACUCCUUGUGCUUUAUUUUUUUACAUAUACAUAUACAUACACAUAGGAAUUGGUAAGACAGUUUUCUCUACAUUCUGAUUAUUAAGUUCCCUUCAAUAAUUUAAACUACACUUACAAAUUGAAUAUAACUGAUUCUUUGGAUUAUGUCAAAUCCCUGAAGUAGUUAUAAAAUAUAAAAAUUCAAUAACUGUGAAAUAUUUUACUACACUUCUAUGUAAACCUAUUCUAAAAGAUGAGCUACCGUAGGUUUGUUUCUUCAUUGUUUAUGUGUUUGUUUUUAUGCCUUUCUGGAGUUGUGGCAAUACUUAUUUUGACUCCUUUCCAUGGUUAUAACAAUGUUGCCAGACCUCAAGUAAAAAGAUUUCUUGCUACACUAGCUAGAUUACAGAAACUGGCUCAGGAACCGAUUGAUUUGAUAUUCACACUCUUGACUGGUGACUUCUAUAAGGUGAUUCAAACUCAAGUCAUUGGUCAUUGGUCAUCUGAUGGGGUCCUUUUAUAAAUGAACUUCAUUUUGCUUUUUAUUUAUUUUUUAUAACAGUUUGUGGGUUUAAAUACAUUUUAUUCUCUUGCAAUCUGGUGCUUUGUCUCAGAGUGAUGUCAACUUCAGGUUUUGCUUGCUCACUGUUACAUCAUUCCUUUUCUUGGCAUCAUAUACAUUUAGCCAACUUGGAGCACUAUUGGAAACUUAUGUUUUUUUUCUAAUAUCCUAUAAUAUGCAGUGUCAUCUAGAGGACUCAUAUUCUAAGAGCUGAAGUUACAAUUUGACAGCAUGCCUCUGAGAUCAUUUGGCAAAUUAGUCAUCUUGGCACACAUUGUCGGACCUCUUUCUCCAUCAAGAAAUAACGACUGCUAAUUCCCCACUGGGCUCUCCUCUACCUGAGUAUCAUGGGGGACCAUUAGUCCCCAUGAGGUCUCGUGUUCUUGGCAAGAUGCCCACCCUUCUGUCCUUACGCAAAUGGAAAGACAGUGCGUAUCUGUGCCUGAUCCACACGUACUUAACCAAAGAAGCAAAGUACCUCUAUAUACAUUCUCUUGCUUUCUAAAAUUAUUUUAAAAAUUGGUCAUAUCUGUUAGAUUUGCCCUUCUUUUUUACACCACCUUGCAUGUCAUUUUCAUUGAACUCUUUUUUGUAUGUUCCUGACAGAAGUCUGUUACCUGGGGAAGUUUGACUGUAUUACCCAUCAAUACAGUUGACCACUUAAAUUGGCUUAGCAAACCCUUUUCAUACGUUAAUACCCCGAGUAAACGUAAAUUCAGAUCGGAAUUCUAGCCUGGGAAUGUUUGCUCCUUUGAGUUACAUAUUCAUCUGUGGCUUGGAACAGUGGUGUAUUUGGAAAGUGAGUCAUUUAGACCCUUACUGCCUUUGCCAUUCUCUUAUUUUGUUUGACAUUCCUGAACUCCGGGACAGCUUCUAUAGUUGGCAGCAGGACACGACCAGGACAAGGCACUAGACGGGGUCACACGACUCAGAAGCCCUAAAACCCCUUGGAGCUAAAACCUCAUAAAAUUUCCCAUGUGUUUGCAACUUGCUACCAUUUGGUCGAAUGAGGACACUUUUUAUCUUCAUUAUAGGAAAAGUUAUCCUACAAUUUGCAGAGAAAGGGAUUUUGACAUAGAGGAGGAAGCAUCAGGGGAGUACAACACUUAUUGUGCCUUUACCCCUCCAUCAGCAGCGAGGGUCUAACUCCUGACCUUCCUCCUUCAGGGCCCCUGGCGUCUGUCUGUGGGCUGAGGUUACUGCACCAUCGGCAGAAGCGGAUCAUUGGUGGGAAAAAUUCCUUAAGGAUUUCUUGCUAUGGAUGAACUUUUUCAAGACUUAAAAAAGGGACAAGCUUCCUGGUUAAAGUCAUGUCAAAGGAGAAUCUGAUAAGUCUGGCUUUUCGGAUCGUCCCUAACCUGUGCAUGGAGGAAUUGUCUUCAGAAGGGAGUUUCUGAUGUCCUUAAGCACCUAAAAUUUUUAUAAGUAAAUAAAAGAGCAAAGCUGUCCUGAAGAGAGAACCAAGGCUGCAAGGCGCAGCAGCAGGAGGCGGACUACGGUUCAAACCCUCACUCCACAGCCGGUGUUUCCAGGGGUGGGUCACCCGCUCUCCGAGUGCCUCAGUUUCUUCACCCAUUCAAUAGAGUAUCGACUGGCUUAAAAAAUAUACAAAAUAAAAUAAAAAUAGGAGUAAUAACAGUACUACCUCUUAGACACUCCUUUCUAGCAACUGUCCUACCUUCAUCAAAUGCCAUCAUAUUGCACAGUGCAUGUUCCGAUCAGUCAAUAACUUCUAUUGCUUCCGACAACUCAAAAUCUCUUCCUUUAAUCUGUCAUUGUUUGUUCUCUCCAGCUGACCCCAUGGCUUGGUUACUGGACUCUGCCUUACUGUCUAGCUCAUACAUUAAUAAAUGGGCACCUUAGCUCUGCUCUGCAGCUCUGGAGACCGUGCUUAGAGCAGGGCUGCCAGAGACGAUGCAGACUUUCAAAAUAAAUACGCCCCAACUGACUGCAGAAAGGUAAUCGAACUGAUCAGCAAAUUCAUAUUAAAUAAGGCAUCUGGAGAAGAUAUUUUUGACACUCAAAGUUGUUUUUAAAGUUUUGGGUUCUAAUUCUUGUCAUCUUAUUUAUUACUGUUAACUCUGCAGAUAAUAAUUUUACCAGUUUUAUUUCAAAAUGUAGUCCAUCUUUUUUCUUUUAGAGCAAUCGCUCUCACUCCCUCUCAACCAUAUACUUUUCCUCUGUGCUUACUUUCUGAAUGUUAAUAUGAGUGGACUGUCCAGGUCAACAUUCUGGAGGCAGCGGUUAUGAACUGUCCUUCUACAGCCAGACGUUGUCCUGACCUCUGUCACAUAUUCACGUGAUUAGUCCAAAAGCCUGUCUCCCCCUUCUCCUCCCACCUGCUCCCCCCACUGUGACCAGGGCAAAAUCCCUACAUUCUCUAGGUAAGCUGAAUGCGUGCCCUCUAUUUUUGUAAGAAUAUAAGACAAGUUUCUACUCUACGUGGACGAUUGUUUCAUUGCAUACCUUCAAAUCCCCUGGCUCUGCUAUUUCUAGCCUUCGGUUGAACUUGGAAAAAGUAACUUAACCUCUUAUGUUUUCUCACCUUUCAAAUGUAGAAAAUAAAAAUUAUCUCUGAAGUUGU
This is a long non-coding RNA of Lemur catta (Ring-tailed lemur), 3235 nucleotides long. RefSeq lists it as uncharacterized. Lineage: Eukaryota; Metazoa; Chordata; Mammalia; Primates; Lemuridae. The transcript is spliced from 4 exons. The record is from RefSeq and is a predicted model, not a curated record.